Molecule: long non-coding RNA, 859 nt
Organism: Bos taurus (domestic cattle)
Lineage: Eukaryota; Metazoa; Chordata; Mammalia; Artiodactyla; Bovidae
Source: Ensembl
GGAGAUUUCCAUCUGUGUCAGAGCUCCCCUGGCAGUUCCAUCUUCCCUUUCCUGCCUUCCCCUCCUUCUUCUGGAUGGUAAAGCAGAGACCACUUUGACACACCAGACGGAAGGAGCCACCCUUUGUCCCCUGUCUUCCAUAAGUCAGGAGCAAAGCUGAGUUGGCCAUGGAUUCCAAAGCAGCAGCUCCUGUGCCGAGGCUGUUUUAUAUGUUUGCAUUCCUCAAGAUACCAGUUAUCAUUAGCAGCAAAUUAAAGCUAUUUUGGGAUCAGUUCAAAGCUGCCUUUGAGGUAUUUUAAGUUGGACAAAAGUCCUCUACGUGUCUAGCUUUAAGCUGAGCGUCCUGAUGUCAUUAGAAGCCCACUUGUACUUGGAGACUACAAUCUGUAUACCUUGAUUUUUGUGAACGUUUCAUAAAUUUCAGGAUUGUUUGUUAAAACUUGAGGACCUGAUGCCACCACCCACUUAAGCAGGACACCGGAAGCAGCUGGGUCCCCACCUCCCAGGAGCUGUGCCAUCAACCCUCCCCAACCCCACAUUCACAUCAACCCUCGGACAGGGCCUUGGGGGGAACGGGCCAGGAGGGUUCUUUACCACCAGUGCCACCUGGGAAGCAGGUUUGAUCCCUGGAUCAAGAAGAUCUCCUGGAAUAGGAAAUGGAAACACACUUCAGUACUCUUGCCUGCAGAAUCCCAUGGACAGAGGAGCUUGGCGGGCUUCGGUCCAUGGGGUCACAAAGAGUCGGAUACAACUGAGUGACAGCAUAUAUGUGUGAUACGUGUUCCCAGGGUGACCUUGAUCCUGGGAGUGCGGGGCGCCGGCCAGAGGCAGCUGGAGAGGAGCUGCAGAGCCCCUUAUC